This is a long non-coding RNA of Gallus gallus (chicken), 7203 nucleotides long. RefSeq lists it as uncharacterized. The record is from RefSeq and is a predicted model, not a curated record. NCBI's taxonomy places the organism in Eukaryota, Metazoa, Chordata, Aves, Galliformes, Phasianidae. The transcript is spliced from 3 exons.
AUCCACAUGCAGCUUCUGAAGACAUCUGAGGCUGUGCAACAAAGGGCAGCCUAAAACAAAGGCGAGAUUACAACCAAAAAGGAGCCCAACCAGCCUGAGUACAUCAGCAGCUCCCAAUGACUCACAGAGGAGGAGGGAUGAAAAGGACUUGUUAAGACCCACAUGCAGAAUAUGAGCUUCAGCCGACCCUCCCUGGUUCCUGCUGGUGCUGCCCUAAUCUGGGUGAAGAGGAGAAAAUGUCUCUCCAGGCUCACACUAUGCAUAUGGAGAGUGGAAGAGGUCCAUGUGGGGAUGGGAGUAAUCCUGACAGGGGUAUGAACACUGGGGCUUCUUGACCAGGCUGUAGCCAUUUACCUUGCAGAGCCAGUGUGUGCUCUGCUGCCCAGCAGAGCAGUGGGGACUAAAGCAAUUAGAAGCAGUGGUACAUGGCUAAGAUGGAGGAGGAAAGGGCAGCACACGUGACUUUAUGGGCAGGUGUGAGGUCCCCAUCCCUGGCAGCAGCACGCAGCACAGCAGGGAAAACCCUUCCCCAGAUCCUGGCAUCCCUUCUUCCUCAUAGUGCUGCUACAAACAGCACAGCAGUGACUCACCCAGGGAGCAGGGCUGAGCUGGCUCUGCUCACCCUGUCCCUUGACCCCGUGUUCCUGCCAGUGAUGCAUGUUUUUCCAUACAGGUCCCACACAGUGGCUGUGAGCACCCCAGAGGGGAUUUUUAAAUGGACAUGGCCAAAGGAUUGCAGCCUGGGAGCAAAUCAAAGCAAUCCUUAAGGGAUAGAGGAGCCAUUCCCACAGCGACCUGUGCUGUGAGGCACGAACCUGCCUGCAGAAAGCACACAAUGCAAGGCCAGCUCUUGGCACGGCAUGGUUCCUGGUGUGCUGGCCAGACAUCUCUGCGUGGGGACAUCCCUGCUACCUGCUGGCAGAUUGCAGCCUGUGCCCACCAAAAGGAAGGCCCACCUGAUGCCACUCGUUUGCUGGGAAGAUGGUGCUCUGACUUCCCUUCAGGCUUUCUGGAAGAUGCCAGAGAGGACCGUUAGCACAGCAGGAUACUUCCUAGCAGACCCUACACCAUAUCUGUGCUCAGUAAAUACGUCUGCUUGUAUCCCAUCCAUUUCCCUGACACCCAAGACCUGCCACUGCUCACCCCCACAUCAUGUGCCCUUUGGGUCAAGUUGACUGGGAAUGCACCCAACCCACCUACAUUUGUGUUUGUGCAAAGGUUGUUUUGUCUCUGGCAGGUCCUGAUUCUUUUUCCAUGGUGGUUUUGCACUGCAUUGCAUUGCGUUGCCAUCAUCCUUCCAAGAAAAGCUCUCCAAGUACCUUCUGCAGGUGUCAUAGCACCAUUUCAUAAAUGUCUUUGGGGACAGAUUUGCAAUGCAUUAAGUACAGCUGUCAGCAAGAUGUCCCCACCAUUUUAACGCUAGAGCUGGGUCAGAGCCACCUCCCAGGGAACAGAUGACCUGAAAGGUGUCCUCAAUCUAUCAGAUCCUCCAAAUUAAGCCCUGCAAAAUGAGACCAGUAACGAGGCCAAAGAAGGGACGCAAUGUUGUGCAAAUACUGCAGGCUUAUCUGCUUAUCUGGAUUAUGCAACAGGCCUAGAAGUGCUUCUAUCCUAAGAACUUUUAAAAUGGUCUUCUGAGCUCUCAGGAGGUGUUGCAACACAGUGGCUCACUGCACUCCAAGGUGUGAGGCAUGUUCUGAGGAAAUUCUUGACUUACCUGUUGGCUUCCAGGCAAACUCAGUCAGUGUGUGCUACCCAGCACUUGCUCAUAGCUCAACGUAUGACUUUCCUGCUUCCAGAGAAGCCAGGGAGGAAGCAGAGAUGGUGCCUUGCAGAAAGCGUAAGGGCACAGCCAUGUUGCUGUGCUCUGCUUGUGGCGGAUGGGAGCCAGGAUAAGGCCACAAAGCCAUUCAGCUCUCUGAACUCCUACACUGCUUUUCUAACUUGACCCUGACAGCAGGAACUGAGCAGGACAGCUGUGCCAGGAUGAGUGGAAUCAGGACCCGUAAGCUCCGAAGCGUUAGGGUCAGCAAAGCCAUUUAUGUCAUACGGGAGGGAUGACAAAGGCAGUGACCUACAUGCAGGUCUGUCUGGUUGCACCACAGACAGGGAAAAGGCCACAGUGCAAGAAAUCCUCCUGUGAUGGAAGUGAAGGUGAGCACUACCCUGGGAGCAGAGCUCUUCUCUGGAGAUGAGUUCCCCUAUGCUGAGCUGGAGAGCUUGACUUCCUCAUCUCCUGUCUGGUUUCCAUAUGAUGCUCGAGGUAUGGAUGGCCCCAUACCAAUCUCAGCUCCACCAUACUGGUGAUUUGAGGUGUUUCUCUCAGAGAUCAUAGGUAAUUCAACAGAAAUAUACAGCCAUGACCAGGAGUUAGAGGGUCACAUACCUCUAAUUGGGCUCUGAGAGCCAGGCCAGGUCUUUAUUUCUCACACUAUAUCCAAUGCUCUCUGACUUGGUGGUGAGACCAGUAGAGAUGUUCAGAUGUGCAUUCUCUGUGCUACCCGGGGAGUUUGGGAGCACUCAGAUUUGGGGCAGAGCCCGUUCCCACUGCUCUGCAGGGAGCAGGCAUCUCCACCAGGCUUUUCCAGCAGCAGACACACCAGCAAAGUGCAUCCCACACUGCUGGAGCUGCAAGCAGCAGCACUGCUAUCGGUUGCCUCGUUACUUCCAGUAGAUCCCUGGGCUGGGUGCUCACUGUGUGCUUGCAAGGCUCAGUGUCUAGUGCAUAAGCCCUGGUUAUUCUUGUCCUCCUGGUUUUCUCCCAUUCCCUGCCCUAAUUUCUCCUCUCUGGAGCAGGCUUGCCUCUCCUGAACCCUCAAGCUAAAACUCUUCAUGUCCCCUUCCAACAUUCUUCUUCCCCGGAAGAGCUGCAGACAUACGGACUCCCAUGGGAGCAGAGUCCUCUUGUCCCAUGCACACACUGGAUUAUCUCCCAGCAGAUGCACAGGGGCAGCGAUGGGGACCUGCAGCCCCUUCCCAGUUUGCCUGGCUCUAACUGACAUAUCUCUGGGAGCUCAAACAGAACUCAAAUUGCACAAAUCCCUCUGAAAUACACGCUUGGCACUGGAAGCUCUGAUCGUCCCCGAGCAUAAGCUAAAUAGGAUUUUCUUCAAGUUUACCUUAAUACAAAGACCAGCUGCAUCCUGUCAGGCUGGAGGAGAUCGGCUUUGCGAGCGGAGGAGAAAAGAGUGAGAAAGAAGCAAAUUAAAGUAUUCCUGAGAGGGGAGAGGAUGUGUGAAUCCCUGAUGUGAAAUGGCCUGAAAUGAAAUCGCUGCAACAAGCAGCCUCCACAGAGUGCUUCUAGACUUGUGCUGUUGCCUUUCAUCGACCAAUUUAUUUCACCAAAGGCAAAAAUGCACGUCUGAGUGGACAGGACUCUUUGGCAGGAAUGGUACUGCUCUGUAAGGAGAUGGGAAGGAAAUGGAAGGUGAGAAUUGUCUGGAGGAGCUGCAAGAGUUAUGGGAUUUUUGAUGUAUGGGUUAUUCUCUUUUGAGUACAUUACACAGGAAUUUUAUUAUUGUUUGUUUCCACCAGAAAACAAAUCCAGGAAGGAAUUCUUAGAGGACACUUCGACAUUUUGGUUUCCACAAAGUCUGAAUACCCAUUUUUUUUCAGUUUUUGCCUCUCCUGUCAUACCCAGGAAAGCAACCUACGUUGCUUUUCCUUAAGCACAUCAGGAUGUGAGCCUUGAGUACAUCAUCUCAGCUCCACCAGCUGUGAAAUGAAUGGAGAGCACAGGUGGGUGCAGAGUGCAUCCAGAGGGGAGGAAUCAGUAUUUAAACAGAUGAUGUGCCUGGGAAGCUGAAGUGGGAUUUGCUAAAAUGCCACCCUAGUGGCAGGGAGAACUGGGAUUGCUCUCCUUCCAACAGAAAGUGCUCCAUGAGCAGAGGUGCUUCUCUAGCUCUUCUCAGCAGGGUUGGUGCCCAGGUGCAAUACUUGACGUGGUGUCCUUGGUAAGCAGCAUUGCCCUGGGCUUUGGCUGUGUGGGAGGAAUGGAAGCAGCUCAGCACUGAAAGCAGCCCGGUGCUGAGGAGCCCAAGCACAGAUACAGGCUGGGCAGAGAAUGUCUUGAGAGCAGCCCUGAGGAGAAGGAUUUGGGGGUGUUGGUUAAUGAAAGACUCAGUGUGAGCCAGCAGUGUGCGCUUGCAGCCCAGAAGGCCAACCAUAUCCUGGGCUGCAUCAAGAGGUUGUGUUUGCUCCAUCUCUGGAAACAUUCAAAACCAGGCUGGAUGGGGCUGUGAGCAACCUGUGCUAGAGGGAGGUAUCUCUACCUAUAGCACAGGGUUGGAACUGGGAGAUCUUAAAGGUCCCUUCCAACUCAAACCAUUCUAUGAUGCUAUGAAGGAGCCUGCAGUCCCUCCUUGUGGGAUCAGGACUGGGGGCCACUCGCUGCCCCUCUACCUGUGCACACAUGGCUGAGAUGCUCACAGCAGGCUGUGGGGAUGCCCCAGGCUCAUGGUGUCCCCUCCUGCUCCCCCCAGCUGGUAGGUGCAGGUAAACAGGAGGGAGAUUAUCUUUAGACAGGAGGGAUAAAGAUACUGAGCGCAGAUUAACCGGGCAGGCCCAGGAGCAGGUAAUCUGCCCGUGCUCUGCAGCUUGCACAGCUCUGGCCAAGUGGGGGAUAACUGCAGUAUCUGCCAGAGCUGAGGCCUGGCGGUGCAUUGACCUCUGGGUGAGUUCUCAUGGGAGGGCUGAGCUUUCUGCACACCUGCAUGUGGCACCUGGACCUGAGCAGGAUGGGAUGCCUUGCAGUGCUCCUCAGCCCUGGACUUGCUGGAUUUCAGGGCGGCUGUUUGUGCAGUCCUUUGUCCCCACUGCAUCUCCCAAUGGGGCCUUUGCUGGCUGGCCCUAAAAACCUCUUUCUCUCUAAUCAACACAUUGCAUAAUUACUACAUUUCUUACUCAAUUACUGUUGUUUGCACGUUCUUUCAGCAAACAGCUCCAAGUGUUUGGAUCCCCUGCCCAAGUCCAGUUCCUUUCCCAAGCUUUUCUCACGUUGGGCUGCCAGGCUGCUCCACGCCAGUGGGUCCUGUGAGCACUGCAGCAGAGCCGAAAGCACAACGAAUGCCAUGCAGAGACUUUGCUGCUUGUGAACUGCUGCUCCCAGGCCUCACUUGGUUUUCCUUUCCUAUCCAGGCAAACAGCCAAGACUUGGCAGUGGAUGGCAACAGCAGUAAGUCAUGGGCAGCUGUGGGCACUAUGGGCUUCUCUCUGCUGCCUUGAGCAGAGGAGCACUGCACAGCCAAUGUUUGGCUUAACUGCUUGACCUGGCUUCUGGGUUGUGAAUCUGCUGGGUAGUGAUGUGUUAGUGCUCAGGAUGGUGCAACCCCCAGACUGAUGGAACGAAGGGGAAGUUGCUGGAAGAAAGGCUCUUGGCUGGUAGAGCUGCUCUUCUUAUUGUUGCGUGGGUGUGGAUAAGAGCUGUGAAGAGCACUGCAGGUGGAUAAGGGCAAUGCAGGUUCCUUCAGGGUUGCUAAAUGCUGUGACUGUCCUGCGGGCAAAAGGAAAGUGCAUCAACCUCAAACAAGCAAACUGAACAGAGAAGAUGGGAGUUCUGCAGGAACACAAGUGGGUUUUCUUUAUGACCGCUGCCUGCCUGGCAGGUUGCUGUCUGAUGAUAAAACCAAGAAGUACAUUCAAACAUGGAGUACUCCGAGAUGCCAUAAACUGCAAACCUGAGGUUUAAAAUACGUUGCAAGAAUCAAUUUGCAACUUUACUGUAGGGCAGCCAUGCCUAUCUUGUGGCUUUGCAAGUUUGCUCUGCCAUGACAGAUAUCCCGAAACAGAUCUACUAAAUGUGGUGACAAAAAAAAUAAGAUUUUGACUAUUUUUGACUCGUUUGCUGACUCAACACAGCUACCGAGGUGGGCGCCAGAUUACAUUCUUGCACAUACAAAAGCAAUGUAGUUGUGACCUAAAUUCUGAUUGCACAGCCUCUCUUUUUGGGGCUGACUCAGAACCUACCUUUUUUGAUUUGCUGUUUGUGAUUUGCCUUUACUCCUUAGCUUAUGCGGUGCACACGUCUGACUUGGGCUUGGAAAAUGCCCUUUGGCUUUGAAACGUGGUAGCCUUCAUUUUUAGGUGCUCAGCUGUUCUUUUUUUUGAGGAGGGCAUGAGAAGCCAAGGCAGUAAGACUUCUUCCAGUCACUUUCGCAGAUCCUGGUCUGUGUGAGUAAUGGCAUCUCAGCAUAGCAGAAGGCAGUCUAGGUAAAUCCAUCUGCGACUAUGUCAUAAACAUCCCCGGUCAUCCAGACACUGUGGGGAAAGGUUCUUGACUCAUCAGCCUUCCUAGACACUGGGAAUAGAUUUGUAAGGGUUUGAGAAAACAGAAGAAAGGCCAAAUCAUUCAUAUUUUGGAGGUGGGAUGUGAAGCUUCCAGGGCAACUCUGUCCUUGGAGAGAUGGAAGGGUGGGUCUGAUUUUUUUGGUGUGAAUCUGGGGGUGAGGGAAGGUGUGGGCACUGAGUCAGAUAUCUAGGGCGUUAUCAGAUAUUCAGGUCCUGUGAAUGGAAGGGAUGAUUCCUCAGAAAGGCUCUGUAAAUUUUUCUUGUUCUCUCUUCUUGAAAGGGAGAAGCCACGGAAGCAUCGUCCACACGCACAGCCCAGUGCAGCCAAAUGGGCAAACGGCGUGUCAGCAUUUGCAGCUCAUCAGCAAGGAGUUCUGGCUGCUCCCCUGGGUAUGACGCCCCCUCCAUCUCCACUCUCCUCAGAAGCAGCCAGCCCAAGCGGAAUCAUUCUGCCCUUUCACUCAGCAGCAGCACUGGCUUUUGCAAAUUAAGGGCCAGAACAGAGAGGUGAUGAGACAAAAACUCAGCCCAGCUUUCAGACAUAGUUGCUACCCACCGCCUUAAGGGCAGAGAUCCGUACCCUGUGUGUGUGCUGCUGUUGGGACAUGGAGGCAGAGACAGUUCAUUCUGCUUUUUUUUUUCCAUUGUGCAUGGGUACACAACGUGGCUCUCAGCCUCCCCUACAAUAAUGCUUUGUUUCCCUCAACCAACACCACUCUGUCAGCGAUGUAAAUAAUUUUAGCACAUCCAAACAGGAAGUGGCUGAGUGUUUGGGUGUCUGAAUCAACAUCCUGGAGGCUGGGCCUUUGCCACCAGUGCAAUAACUAAAUGCAUGAGUCGCCUAUGGAUGGAAGCGCAGGUCUUGGAAAUGGCAGAGCCAGUAAAACUCAGUGCCAGAAUGUGACCGUUGCCAAAUAA